CACCAGACUCCUACGGGAGGCAGCAGUGAGGGAUAUUGGGCAAUGGGGGAAACCCUGACCCAGCGACGCCGCGUGAGGGAAGACGGUCUUCGGAUUGUAAACCUCUGUCUUUGGGGACGAAAAAGGACGGUACCCAAGGAGGAAGCUCCGGCUAACUACGUGCCAGCAGCCGCGGUAAUACGUAGGGAGCAAGCGUUGUCCGGAAUUACUGGGUGUAAAGGGAGCGUAGGCGGGGAUGCAAGUUGGGUGUCAAAACUAUCGGCUCAACCGAUAGUCGCACUCAAAACUGCAGCUCUUGAGUGAAGUAGAGGCAGGCGGAAUUCCUAGUGUAGCGGUGAAAUGCGUAGAUAUUAGGAGGAACACCAGUGGCGAAGGCGGCCUGCUGGGCUUUUACUGACGCUGAGGCUCGAAAGUGUGGGGAGCAAACAGGAUUAGAUACCCUUGUA
This 446-nucleotide ribosomal RNA is filed under the name uncultured bacterium. RNAcentral's name for it is "bacterial SSU rRNA". It matches the Rfam family "Bacterial small subunit ribosomal RNA", at positions 329 to 792 of the family's 1533-position model. The record is from RNAcentral.